This 427-nucleotide ribosomal RNA is filed under the name uncultured Gammaproteobacteria bacterium. RNAcentral describes it as "uncultured gamma proteobacterium partial 16S ribosomal RNA". It matches the Rfam family "Bacterial small subunit ribosomal RNA", at positions 355 to 774 of the family's 1533-position model. Lineage: Bacteria; Pseudomonadati; Pseudomonadota; Gammaproteobacteria. The record is from RNAcentral.
UGGGGAAUCUUGGACAAUGGGCGCAAGCCUGAUCCAGCAAUGCCGCGUGGGUGAAGACGGCCUGCGGGUUGUAAAGCCCUUUUGGCGGGGAAGAAAGCCCUGGGUUGAACAGGCUCAGGGGGUGACGUUACCCGCUGAAGAAGCACCGGCCAACUCCGUGCCAGCAGCCGCGGUAAUACGGAGGGUGCAAGCGUUAAUCGGAAUUACUGGGCGUAAAGCGCACGUAGGCGGUCGUUCAAGUCCGUUGUGAAAGCCCCGGGCUCAACCUGGGAAUGGCAAGGGAAACUGAGCGACUGGAGUGUAACAGAGGACCGUGGAAUUCCCGGUGUAGCGGUGAAAUGCGUAGAGAUCGGGAAGAACACCGAUGGCGAAGGCAGCGGUCUGGGGUAACACUGACGCUGAGGUGCGACAGCGUGGGGAGCAAACA